GGUUGUCGUCGGCUCGUGUCGUGAGAUGUUGGUUAAGUCCCGCAACGAGCGCAACCCUUGUCUUCAGUUACCAGCAUUGAGUUGGGGACUCUGGAGAGACUGCCGGUGACAAACCGGAGGAAGGUGGGGAUGACGUCAAAUCAUCAUGCCCCUUAUGACCUGGGCUACACACGUACUACAAUGGCGUAUACAACGGGAAGCGAAGUGGUGACACGGAGCAAAUCUCACAAAGUACGUCUCAGUUCAGAUUGGAGUCUGCAACUCGACUCCAUGAAGGCGGAAUCGCUAGUAAUCGCGGAUCAGCAUGCCGCGGUGAAUACGUUCUCGGGGUUU
RNAcentral lists this ribosomal RNA (333 nucleotides) under uncultured Erysipelothrix sp. RNAcentral describes it as "bacterial SSU rRNA". It matches the Rfam family "Bacterial small subunit ribosomal RNA", at positions 1047 to 1382 of the family's 1533-position model. Lineage: Bacteria; Bacillati; Bacillota; Erysipelotrichia; Erysipelotrichales; Erysipelotrichaceae. The record is from RNAcentral.